Molecule: ribosomal RNA, 1100 nt
Filed under: human gut metagenome
Description: bacterial SSU rRNA
Rfam family: Bacterial small subunit ribosomal RNA
Source: RNAcentral
UGAACGCUAGCUACAGGCUUAACCUUGCAAGUCGAGGGGCAGCAUGGUCUUAGCUUGCUAAGGCUGAUGGCGACCGGCGCACGGGUGAGUAACACGUAUCCAACCUGCCGUCUACUCUUGGACAGCCUUCUGAAAGGAAGAUUAAUACAAGAUGGCAUCAUGAGUCCGCAUGUUCACAUGAUUAAAGGUAUUCCGGUAGACGAUGGGGAUGCGUUCCAUUAGAUAGUAGGCGGGGUAACGGCCCACCUAGUCUUCGAUGGAUAGGGGUUCUGAGAGGAAGGUCCCCCACAUUGGAACUGAGACACGGUCCAAACUCCUACGGGAGGCAGCAGUGAGGAAUAUUGGUCAAUGGGCGAGAGCCUGAACCAGCCAAGUAGCGUGAAGGAUGACUGCCCUAUGGGUUGUAAACUUCUUUUAUAAAGGAAUAAAGUCGGGUAUGGAUACCCGUUUGCAUGUACUUUAUGAAUAAGGAUCGGCUAACUCCGUGCCAGCAGCCGCGGUAAUACGGAGGAUCCGAGCGUUAUCCGGAUUUAUUGGGUUUAAAGGGAGCGUAGAUGGAUGUUUAAGUCAGUUGUGAAAGUUUGCGGCUCAACCGUAAAAUUGCAGUUGAUACUGGAUGUCUUGAGUGCAGUUGAGGCAGGCGGAAUUCGUGGUGUAGCGGUGAAAUGCUUAGAUAUCACGAAGAACUCCGAUUGCGAAGGCAGCCUGCUAAGCUGCAACUGACAUUGAGGCUCGAAAGUGUGGGUAUCAAACAGGAUUAGAUACCCUGGUAGUCCACACGGUAAACGAUGAAUACUCGCUGUUUGCGAUAUACUGCAAGCGGCCAAGCGAAAGCGUUAAGUAUUCCACCUGGGGAGUACGCCGGCAACGGUGAAACUCAAAGGAAUUGACGGGGGCCCGCACAAGCGGAGGAACAUGUGGUUUAAUUCGAUGAUACGCGAGGAACCUUACCCGGGCUUAAAUUGCAGAUGAAUUACGGUGAAAGCCGUAAGCCGCAAGGCAUCUGUGAAGGUGCUGCAUGGUUGUCGUCAGCUCGUGCCGUGAGGUGUCGGCUUAAGUGCCAUAACGAGCGCAACCCUUGUUGUCAGUUACUAACAGGU